CAGCACCUCAAGUGGUCAGGAUGAUUAUUGGGCCUAAAGCAUCCGUAGCCGGCGCUGUAAGUUUUCGGUUAAAUCUGUACGCUCAACGUACAGGCUGCCGGGAAUACUGCAGAGCUAGGGAGUGGGAGAGGUAGACGGUACUCGGUAGGAAGGGGUAAAAUCCUUUGAUCUAUUGAUGACCACCUGUGGCGAAGGCGGCCUACCAGAACACGUCCGACGGUGAGGGAUGAGAGCUGGGGGAGCAAACCGGAUUAGAUACCCGAGUAGUCC
This 270-nucleotide ribosomal RNA is filed under the name uncultured archaeon. RNAcentral's name for it is "partial 16S ribosomal RNA". It matches the Rfam family "Archaeal small subunit ribosomal RNA", at positions 477 to 747 of the family's 1478-position model. The record is from RNAcentral.